RNAcentral lists this ribosomal RNA (403 nucleotides) under uncultured bacterium. RNAcentral describes it as "bacterial SSU rRNA". It matches the Rfam family "Bacterial small subunit ribosomal RNA", at positions 355 to 775 of the family's 1533-position model. The record is from RNAcentral.
UUAGGAAUUUUGGGCAAUGGGCGCAAGCCUGACCCAGCAACGCCGCGUGGGUGACGAAGGCCUUCGGGUUGUAAAGCCCUUUUCUGAGGGAAGAUAGUGACGGUACCUCAGGAAUAAGCACCGGCUAACUACGUGCCAGCAGCCGCGGUAAUACGUAGGGUGCAAGCGUUGCCCGGAUUUAUUGGGCGUAAAGGGCGCGCAGGCGGCUCGGCACGUCCGUUGUGAAAUCGCCCGGCUCAACUGGGCGGGGUCAGCGGAUACGGCCGAGCUGGAGCAAGCUAGGGGGCAAUGGAAUUCCCGGUGUAGUGGUGGAAUGCGUAGAUAUCGGGAGGAACACCAGUGGCGAAGGCGGUUGCCUGGAGCUUUGCUGACGCUGAGGCGCGAAAGCGUGGGGAGCGAUCCG